Molecule: small RNA, 68 nt
Filed under: Chrysoculter rhomboideus
Lineage: Eukaryota; Haptophyta
Description: partial Betaproteobacteria transfer-messenger RNA
Source: RNAcentral
AGAAAUGAACUUCGUGAGCAAUUAAAAAAAGCAAACGAUAUUGACGAAAAAUUUGCAAUAAGCGCUAA